RNAcentral lists this ribosomal RNA (513 nucleotides) under Mesopsocus unipunctatus. Its description in RNAcentral is "partial 16S rRNA". It matches the Rfam family "Archaeal large subunit ribosomal RNA", at positions 1901 to 2678 of the family's 2987-position model. The record is from RNAcentral. Lineage: Eukaryota; Metazoa; Arthropoda; Insecta; Psocodea; Mesopsocidae.
AAAAACAUGUCUUUAAGUUUAUAAUUUAAAGUCCAAUCUGCUCACUGAUAUUUAAAGAGCCGCAGUAUUUUGACUGUGCAAAGGUAGCAUAAUCAAUAGUUUCUUAAUUGGAAGCUGGAAUGAAGGAUUAGACGAGAAAUUAGCUUUCUUUAUUUUUACGAAUUGAACUUAAAUUUUAAGUUAAAAUUCUUAAGUGUAUUUAAAAGACGAGAAGACCCUAUAGAUUUUUAUUUAUCAAUAUUAUUAAUAAAGUUUUAAUUUUAUUUAUUAAUUUAGUUGGGGCGACGUUGUAAUAAAACAAACUUAACUUUAAAAUACCAUGGAUGAUUGAAUUUUCUGAUCUAAAAUUUUUAGAUGAAAGAUUAAAUUACCUUAGGGAUAACAGCGUAAUUUUAUUUAAGAGUUCAUAUCUAUAAUAAAGUUUGCGACCUCGAUGUUGAAUUAAGAGAUAGCCUGGGGCAGAAAUUGGGAUAAAUUAGUCUGUUCGACUAUUAAACUCUUACGUGAUCUGAG